This 253-nucleotide ribosomal RNA is filed under the name uncultured bacterium. Its description in RNAcentral is "partial 16S ribosomal RNA". It matches the Rfam family "Bacterial small subunit ribosomal RNA", at positions 524 to 776 of the family's 1533-position model. The record is from RNAcentral.
UACGAAGGGGGCUAGCGUUGCUCGGAAUCACUGGGCGUAAAGCGCACGUAGGCGGAUCUUUAAGUCAGGGGUGAAAUCCUGGAGCUCAACUCCAGAACUGCCUUUGAUACUGGGGAUCUCGAGUCCGGGAGAGGUGAGUGGAACUGCGAGUGUAGAGGUGAAAUUCGUAGAUAUUCGCAAGAACACCAGUGGCGAAGGCGGCUCACUGGCCCGGUACUGACGCUGAGGCACGAAAGCGUGGGGAGCAAACAGG